AACUGAAGAGUUUGAUCAUGGCUCAGAUUGAACGCUGGCGGCAGGCUUAACACAUGCAAGUCGAGCGGGGGAAGGUAGCUUGCUACUGGACCUAGCGGCGGACGGGUGAGUAAUGCUUAGGAAUCUGCCUAUUAGUGGGGGACAACAUCUCGAAAGGGAUGCUAAUACCGCAUACGUCCUACGGGAGAAAGCAGGGGAUCUUCGGACCUUGCGCUAAUAG
Molecule: ribosomal RNA, 220 nt
Filed under: Acinetobacter baumannii
Lineage: Bacteria; Pseudomonadati; Pseudomonadota; Gammaproteobacteria; Moraxellales; Moraxellaceae
Description: partial 16S ribosomal RNA
Rfam family: Bacterial small subunit ribosomal RNA
Source: RNAcentral